This 253-nucleotide ribosomal RNA is filed under the name uncultured bacterium. Its description in RNAcentral is "partial 16S ribosomal RNA". It matches the Rfam family "Bacterial small subunit ribosomal RNA", at positions 524 to 776 of the family's 1533-position model. The record is from RNAcentral.
UACGUAGGUGGCAAGCGUUGUCCGGAUUUAUUGGGUUUAAAGGGUGCGUAGGCGGUCUUUUAAGUCAGUGCUGAAAUAUCCCGGCUUAACCGGGAGGGUGGCAUUGAUACUGAAGGACUUGAGUAAAGUUGAGGUUGGCGGAAUUGACGGUGUAGCGGUGAAAUGCUUAGAUAUCGUCAAGAACACCGAUAGUGCAGACAGCUAACUAAGCUUUAACUGACGCUGAGGCACGAAAGUGUGGGGAUCGAACAGG